RNAcentral lists this ribosomal RNA (330 nucleotides) under Triticum aestivum (bread wheat). Its description in RNAcentral is "partial small subunit ribosomal RNA". The record is from RNAcentral. Lineage: Eukaryota; Viridiplantae; Streptophyta; Magnoliopsida; Poales; Poaceae.
AUGCAUUCAAGAUUCACGAAAACCAAUAUUGUGGUCCUCCCUAUGCAGCAGGCUUGUGCUCCAAAAUUCCCCAUCAAGCUGGCUCCUGCUCCCCCGAAUCCUACCCCCACCCAUCCAAAAGCUUCAAGAUCUCACAGAAAUCUCACAACUUCCGUUCGUCGGAGUAGAGCCUUCAAACAGCCCCGCCCACACAUCCACGCGGCGGCUGCUGCCAUAACUUCACCGGAGUCGCCUUCUCCUUCCGCGCCACGUCACCGGUGCCGGCCAGGCUCUGAAUCUUCUGCUGCUGCCGCCGAUACGAUGCUGGAGCUGGCAUCGACAUGCUUGUGA